Molecule: ribosomal RNA, 429 nt
Filed under: Pseudomonadota bacterium
Lineage: Bacteria; Pseudomonadati; Pseudomonadota
Description: Proteobacteria bacterium partial 16S ribosomal RNA
Rfam family: Bacterial small subunit ribosomal RNA
Source: RNAcentral
UGGGGAAUAUCGGACAAUGGGCGAAAGCCUGAUCCAGCCAUGCCACGUGUGUGAAGAAGGUCUUCGGAUUGUAAAGCACUUUAAGUUGGGAGGAAGGGCAGUAAGCGAAUACCUUGCUGUUUUGACGUUACCGACAGAAUAAGCACCGGCUAACUCUGUGCCAGCAGCCGCGGUAAUACAGAGGGUGCAAGCGUUAAUCGGAAUUACUGGGCGUAAAGCGCGCGUAGGUGGUUCGUUAAGUUGAAUGUGAAAGCCCCGGGCUCAACCUGGGAACUGCAUCCAAAACUGGCGAGCUAGAGUAGGGCAGAGGGUGGUGGAAUUUCCUGUGUAGCGGUGAAAUGCGUAGAUAUAGGAAUGAACACCAGUGGCGAAGGCGACCACCUGGGCUCAUACUGACACUGAGGUGCGAAAGCGUGGGGAGCAAACAGG